This is a long non-coding RNA of Hirundo rustica (Barn swallow), 3853 nucleotides long. RefSeq lists it as uncharacterized. Lineage: Eukaryota; Metazoa; Chordata; Aves; Passeriformes; Hirundinidae. The record is from RefSeq and is a predicted model, not a curated record. The transcript has 3 exons.
UAACCUGGAGUAAAGGAGGCUCAGGGGGCACCUACAACCACCUCAAAAUAGGUUGUAGUGAGGUGUGGGUCAGUCUCUUCUCCCAGCCAACAAGACAGAGGACAAGAAGAAAUGGCCUCAAGUUGUGCCAGGGGAUGCUGAGAUUGGAUAUUGAGAAAAAUUUCUUCACUGGAGAAGUGGAAGGAUACGAGAUCACAUCAGAAUAUUUAAGAAAUUAAAUGAUUGUGGAAGGCAGCAUGCUUAACCAGAAGAAAAUGCCUCUGAGAAUAAGAGAGUCUAUUCCAUGAUCCUUGAUCUGAAUGCAGUACAAGCUGGCCAUAUGCCAGAUAUACUCAGCACAUUAAGAUCUGGAAUUUGCUGCUUAGCUGUCAACUAUAAUUCACAUGCUGAUGCCAGGAAAUAAACUGGAAGUUUCAAGGACAAGGAAGUUUAGAACUGCCAUCUUGUUCUCUCUGUGCCUGACUUCUUCCAGGUGAAUGAGGUUUCCUUUCAUUAGAGGCUAAAAUGGUGGCUGACAAUGGCUUUUUAGGCACCAGCAAAACCAAAUUGCUUAUCUGGAGAGUGGUGCUCCCUCAGCAAGCAAGACAACGAGCAAAUCCAUGGCUGAUCUCUCAGACUAAAUGGCACUGGACACCAGACCUCCGGCCACAGCCUGCAGGACAUCACAGCUCCUGGUUUAUUAUGUAUGUCUGCAGGACAUCGAAGGGUUGAGGUGGGGAUGCAGGACCAGAGGGACUGUUUUCUGUGCAGUCUGGGCCAUCACUAAGCACCUGGAGGUGGGGAGCCCAGGGGGGCUGUUGUAUUCAUCAUGACAAGGUGUUGAGGAGAAGGAGAAACUAGAAGAGAAUCUUCCAUAACUGACUCUGCUUUUUACUUCUUACUCCCUUUGAAAAUAAUAGCUUUGCUUUUCUCCGUUUUUAAAACAGCCUCUGCACCUCUGGGAUCCAAGCAAUAGAUUGUGAAGUUAAUUGCAUGUGAAGGAAGCCCAGUUCCUUUUAUCUCACUCCUGCCUUUGUGUGUCUGUUAUCCAGCUGAGGAUGUUAAAUUCAGUUGUAAUGGGUUUCUUGCUUGAUGAUUAAGUGCUUGUUGUAUCAUGACUAAAUGUUCCUCUAGUGUCUCCUUAUGUUGCCAUUUUGCAAUAGAAUUUUGUACAGGUAGAAAGGUAUCUUGAUUUUCACUCACAUGUGACAAGAUGAAGGAAGCUCACAAACUGGAACUACUGUGGGCAGACAGACCAAAAAUCACUCUAGGAUGCCCCUGACAGGAACUGAACCCAGACUGCAAGACAGGAACCUUUCAUGGUACCAAUGCAAUCCCUGCUGCUUGGGAAACCUGUUUGGUACGUCCACCUGGACCUCCUCCUAAUGUUCCACUGCCGCAGAUGAGCUGGAGCUUUUUGCACAGCCUGCACUUUCCUUUUUAAAAACUACAGAGUUUUGAACAUGUCAGCUUCAUUUAAUGCCUGGCUGUAAAGUGAAUCAAAAAAAAAAAAAAAAUUAAAAUUGUAAAGUAUUUGUGAUGAUGAGAUGUGAAAGUUGUAAAGUAACAAAAAUGGGAUGCAAGCCUUCUAAGAACAUUUCCAGGCACUCAGCAUGAUGCUGGAUAGUCAUGCAGCUCCACUGAAAGACAUUACCAAUGCAUACGUGAAACCUUAUACAAAGACACACAUUGAUGUAGAAUGAAAGUGGUGAUGAAAAAGAACGUCAGAAGGAUGAGAAAUUGCAACUAAAAGCAAUUAGAAGCCAUGCUUAGAUCCAGGCUAUUUUCAGAUUCAGGGAUAAAUAUGAGAAACUACGUUUUCCUCUUUCAAAUAUACGUCCUUCAUGGAGCUACACAAACAUGCGCCUUUGUUUAGAUCAAGCCAAUAUUUCUGUGUGAGAAUGUGAAAUUUCAUCCAGAGGUACUUAAUAAUGUCAAUGGCAUAAAAUUCCUCUUCUCUGGUGUGUUCAAAUUAAACAUUUUUUAAUAAAAACAAUCACAGAAAAGGUGCCCUUAUACUGCACAAUUCUUUCAAGUGAUUAGCAUAUAUUAACUCAAGAAGAAAAGAGUUAACUUUCAAAAUACGCUUAAUUCCAGUGGUGAUGAAAUGGAUGAGAACAAUAAGUAAAUGUAGAUUAGAGAGAGAAACAAAGACUUGGGUAAAAAGCGGGGCCGAAUGCAUGGAGAGAAAUGUAGAAGAAACAUUGUUCGUCUUUCACACAUGUCAUUUACUCAAUAAGAAAUUUCAUAAAAGACUCUCUAAUUAAUGUCUCUCUUCAAUAAGAGAUCCAAACCCUAUUUUCUGACAGUGAUGCGUUAUGCUGGAGGGAGAAGGAGAGAAGCUUCUUUUCCUACAGGUGCUGGUCAUGAUCAUGUCCAUAUGCUGAACUGAAUGACCAGAGAAAUACCUUGCAAAGGACCAAUCUCUCCUCAGGGCCAUCAGCUUUCCUGCUGGAUGCUCUGCAGCUGAGACAACUGAGCCUUGCCUUCAAGCAUUGCACCAACAUGGACACUUACGUUUCUUCUUCUGUUUUCUCUGACAUCCUCGACCCAGUGGGAGUGUGCUGAGUUAAAACAAGGGGCACCCUGACGAUGAAGAAAUGAUUGUGACCUGCGUGAUUGUUGGAAAAGAGUUGAUAGAAGACACAACAGUCAGCAGAUGGAGCCCAGUUCUGACUUAUACUGAAGACAAGAGUUCAACAAGCCUGAAUCCUAAACCAGACUCUGAGUAGGAAUGAACUUAUGAGUGAUGUAAGGUGUUUCAUAAGCAUUGCUGGUGGAUGGGAUUUGUGUUUUAUUAGGACAUUGGUGUAUCAGUGUACUAUGAGGUCAUCAUGGCUUCUACUCCUAUGUGUUCCACAUGUGCUUGUGUCCUAGGGGAUUUUUAGUUGCUUGAAUAAAGCCUAAAAUAAGGAUAAAUAUAUUCAAGGGUGACAGGAGGAGGAGAAGAAUAUUGCAGCAAAACAGUAAGAACAAAUAUAAGCCCAUACAAUGCAUUCUACCCUAGAAAACCUCACCAGGCACGCUAUAAACACCAAGAUGGCAAGUGGAAUUGCUGAGGCAUUACUUGAGUUGGAGCUGUCUCUCCAAGGCAGGAGGGAGAGUACUGAUACCCACUGCUGCCUUUGAAAAGGGCUUCUUAGCAGAAGGGCAUGAUGCAUUCUUUAUCAUCCUCAUUAACUCAAAGAAAUAACCUCCACAACUGAAAAAAUUACUUGUGCAUUGAAAAAACAAUUGGCUUAUUGGAAGACAGUGGCUAAACUCCCAGCCGUGUAACACAGUAUAAUGUGACAGUGGGAGACAAAAACAGAGUUUUAAUGAGAUGUAGUUCUUGCCAAUGCUUUGAAGGGAAUGCUGCUCUUAAGCAGCCUCCAUGCAUCAGUCUGGGCUUGGAAGAAGGCAGAAGAGCUGUCAGUGCAGAGCAGCUCUCAAACCCUGAUCCCUGGGGCAAGAUGCUGGUAGUUGGGAAGAGUUGCCUGGUAACAAGGAGCUGCUGCCUUCUCAUUUCCAGCUGUUAAACUGCAUUGGAAGGAACUGAAUAAUACCAGAAUAGAAACUUAGCUUGUAAUUUGUGGUUUAAUGCAACGAAAUAGGAGUCAUUUUAUGGCAUCUCUAAAUGGUUUAGGACACAAGUCUUUGUGGCAGAGUUCUAGUAGGUCCAUAUUGCAAAACAGGAAAAGGACUUUCUGUAAUUAUUUAUUGAUCAGCUUCUUGUUCCAAUAAGAAUUGUUAGUGGCAUGUGUAAAGGCUGGGGUAAAGGUAAUAGCGGACAGGAUUUUAACAGAGCAGACAAGAAACAGAAAUAACCAAGAAAACAAAAAGUAAUUUUUUUGAAAAUGUAUGCAAAUAUAUGUAUAAAAAUAUCAACAUUUAU